CCUUUUGGUUCGGAACAACACAGGGAAACUUGUGCUAAUACCGGAUAAGCCCUUACGGGGAAAGAUUUAUCGCCGAAAGAUCGGCCCGCGUCUGAUUAGCUAGUUGGUGAGGUAACGGCUCACCAAGGCGACGAUCAGUAGCUGGUCUGAGAGGAUGAUCAGCCACAUUGGGACUGAGCCAGGGUCAAAACUUCAACGGGAGGCAGCAGUGGGGAAUAUUGGACAAUGGGCGCAAGCCUGAUCCAGCCAUGCCGCGUGAGUGAUGAAGGCCCUAGGGUUGUAAAGCUCUUUUGUGCGGGAAGAUAAUGACGGUACCGCAAGAAUAAGCCCCGGCUAACUUCGUGCCAGCAGCCGCGGUAAUACGAAGGGGGCUAGAGUUGCUCGGAAUCACUGGGCGUAAAGGGUGCGUAGGCGGGUCUUUAAGUCAGGGGUGAAAUCCUGGAGCUCAACUCCAGAACUGCCUUUGAUACUGAAGAUCUUGAGUUCGGGAGAGGUGAGUGGAACUGCGAGUGUAGAGGUGAAAUUCGUAGAUAUUCGCAAGAACACCAGUGGCGAAGGCGGCUCACUGGCCCGAUACUGACGCUGAGGCACGAAAGCGUGGGGAGCAAACAGGAUUAGAUACCCUGGUAGUCCACGCCGUAAACGAUGAA
This 650-nucleotide ribosomal RNA is filed under the name uncultured bacterium. RNAcentral's name for it is "bacterial SSU rRNA". It matches the Rfam family "Bacterial small subunit ribosomal RNA", at positions 129 to 813 of the family's 1533-position model. The record is from RNAcentral.